This 323-nucleotide ribosomal RNA is filed under the name Yokenella sp. CAR8. Its description in RNAcentral is "bacterial SSU rRNA". It matches the Rfam family "Bacterial small subunit ribosomal RNA", at positions 1011 to 1334 of the family's 1533-position model. The record is from RNAcentral. Lineage: Bacteria; Pseudomonadati; Pseudomonadota; Gammaproteobacteria; Enterobacterales; Enterobacteriaceae.
UUGGUGCCUUCGGGAACCGUGAGACAGGUGCUGCAUGGCUGUCGUCAGCUCGUGUUGUGAAAUGUUGGGUUAAGUCCCGCAACGAGCGCAACCCUUAUCCUUUGUUGCCAGCGGUCCGGCCGGGAACUCAAAGGAGACUGCCAGUGAUAAACUGGAGGAAGGUGGGGAUGACGUCAAGUCAUCAUGGCCCUUACGAGUAGGGCUACACACGUGCUACAAUGGCAUAUACAAAGAGAAGCGACCUCGCGAGAGCAAGCGGACCUCAUAAAGUAUGUCGUAGUCCGGAUUGGAGUCUGCAACUCGACUCCAUGAAGUCGGAAUCG